Bombus impatiens (common eastern bumble bee) is the source of this 91-nucleotide long non-coding RNA. RefSeq lists it as uncharacterized. The record is from RefSeq and is a predicted model, not a curated record. The transcript has 3 exons. Lineage: Eukaryota; Metazoa; Arthropoda; Insecta; Hymenoptera; Apidae.
UGGGUGUGUAGUUAACAUACCAGGGCCGAUGAUAUUACUCGCACUGGUCUACCGUCUCGCCCGUGGAGGUUUUAACCGGUAAGAAUCCGGC